Dermacentor silvarum is the source of this 2312-nucleotide long non-coding RNA. RefSeq lists it as uncharacterized. The transcript is spliced from 2 exons. Lineage: Eukaryota; Metazoa; Arthropoda; Arachnida; Ixodida; Ixodidae. The record is from RefSeq and is a predicted model, not a curated record.
UAUAUUUAGCACCUGCUGGGUUUGAGUGUAUGAAAGGUUGUUGAUUUUUAGUAGCCGUGUUUCCAUGAAUACGACAGUGGCACAUGGCAUUGCAUUUCCCACCUGUGGCGUGCAUGUAAACAGCGGUAAUGCACUAGGACGAGAACGCAGCGCUGACGUUGCUCAGUAUUGUGAACGGUAGCUGUGAUGUUGACAAGACCUAUGUCAACCUAUGUUAUGUUCAAAGGAGCGUAGCUGAUUCAGCUAAUUUGUAUUUCAUUAAUUUUGUUGCAAAAACACAUGGUGGGAACCAGUAAAACAGGAUGGCAACAGAUAAGGACGAAAAGUCCGACAGCUUUAGGAUCGACAGAAUAAUGGUGAAAAUGUAUAUGAUAAGGUACGUCAACUAGGGCUUGUAAAAUAAGGAAAAGCAUCGCACCUCUUGUGAAGCAUGCCCGUAUGCACUGCUAUUUAGCCUUUCUUCUUUGGUUAAGGAAGUUCAUAGAACGAACUAAAGAAGGGAUCCCCAAACACGACUCAAUUCAUUAUGUUUGUUCGAGUGGCUUCAUUUAAAAACAUUAAUGCCUGCAUGCCAACAAGGAUUUGUAAGAUGAGUUUGUCUCAUGAUUUGUGAGCAACUCUUGUUUUCAUUACAUUUCCUCUGAAUGAUUUCGCUCAUUUAAAUAGAAUGUUUUGGCCUAAAAAAAUACAGUUGCCUGUGUUAAUUGUUUGUGAAAGUUACCACAAAAAUUCCAAACUUUGAGCUGCGAAACAACAGAAACUCUAGUUUCUUCCUGGUUUUUCUCUUUAAAACUAACACCCGGUUUUAGCCCCCCAAAUUUCAAAAAAAUAUAAAACCCCCGCAAACAAAGGACCUUACCUAUAACUUAUUGCAGGAGCCUGUUAGGUCUUGAAGACAGUUGCUAAAGCUGCAAUCACAAAGCUUUAAAAAAAAAAAAAAAAAAACUUGUCACCAGUCGACAUUUGUUCUUCCAAUUUUUAACUUUUUGCAGCAUGUAAUCACUAUUCAUUAAUAUUGGAAUUGCCAGCCUUUGUACACAAUAUCACAAAAAGAGAUUGUAAUUAUAAAAAAUCCUUAAGGCUUUCAAAAGUGACUGCUACGGAUAGACAUCUUUGUUGAUAAGCUCCAGUGUGCUACAGAAAAAGGGGUGCCAUAGAAAUUACUUGUUGGUCCAGCUAAUUUUGCUUAUCUAGAUUGCCUCCACUCCAUAUAACAAGCCAUUCAUUUCUUUCACAAUGAAGUUUGUGUAUAUAUAGCUCCUCUAUGCAAAUACCAGGACCAGUGCAAAUACCAGGGCCGUGAACUGUUUGACAUUCUGUUGCAUUUUUACAGCAAAAAUGCAGCAAAACUAUGCUGUUUUCACAAUUUAGGAUGGAGUGAUGGAUUUCUCCAUACUAACCAUCAUCCCCAUGAUAGCUGAACGAUUGCAGUGCCCAGGUUCCCUCUUGUAAUUUUUUGUAGGAAACUAAGUGUGGGCACUGUGUGGGAGCCUUGAGUAAACAGGUGCUGCGUUCAGGUGUAGCCACUGUAGUUCAGGGGGCAGAAUGCCUGGUGCUGUUAAAACGGUAGAUAUUUAUUGAAAUGGGGAAAGUAAAACAUUUUUCUUUUCUACAGCCAUUUUUCUGUCAAAAAAAAAAAGUCAGAAUAAAAAGGGGAAAUAAAGAAAGUCCGGCAGCCCCUUGUGCAGACGGCAGCUAAAGAAGGGGAGAAAAUAAAUUUCACAUUGGAAUAAAUUCGCGGGGCACGUCACUCGAUGCAACUAUGCCCGAUGAUCGAUGAGUCGACCUGUGUAGCAUCGGUUGCAUGCCACCUGUAGGCACCAGGGUGAGCAGCAGUGUGCACUUAUUGAAGCUUGGAGGAAGAAAAAGAUACGAGAGCAUUGCGUCACGCAGCCAGCCUUGGCAAGCGAACGCUCCGUGAAGCCAUCCCUUUGGCCCAACACGUGACCUCUUGCGUCGAGAUCACUCGGCAAGAAUGGAGAUUUGCCGAGACGUUUGGUUCCCAGUAGCUAUGCGGGCUAUGCCAGUAGUUUUUAUUCGGUGCGCGCUUGUUCGGCUGCCCUUCCGUGGCUCUGCCAGCAGAGCGGGAACACUAAAACCAACCGCGCACAUUGACGUGCGAUCACGUGUUGGGCCACCACACUCGGCUUCAAUCGCGUUGCGUUCCCUUCCUCCAUGUAUUGAAGGUCGCUAUCGCACCGUGACUAUAAUUGCCUGCUAGUGCACUGUACCGUGGCCACUAUUGAAGGGACAUUACACAUGGAGCGAUAGCUCAUUGCACAGAUGUGAUCAGUUUUUUUUUUUUUUUUUUU